AGCUCCGUCCGCCUCCAUAGGUCAAGCUUAAAGGGCCCGUACCUCUCCCUUAAUCUGGGAUGCCUCCGGCUCCAGGAAGAUGGCUAUUGAAAGGCAGGGGGUGGGGAGGAGGGACGAGGGUGUGGAGACGCGCCUGUUUCUUGCAGGAAACCUGUUGCCAACAUAGUCGGAAGCCAAGCCCUCCCGGAGCCGGUGCCGGCCCGCGAGCCCCAGCGUCUCUGCAGACCAGUCCCCUCCAGGGUCCGGCGGGGCCCGCGCGGUGGGAGGAGUCGGGCACUGGCCGGCGACUAACGGGUCCGACUGCUGACCAAGCUAGGAGAGACCCGGACCACGGAGACAGAGACCCCGGCAUCGCGACCCCCGAGGACCUCCUCUCCUCGCCCUGUGGCACCCACUAGUCCUGGGCACUCAGCCGCGGAGAGCCCCCGACCCCGCGCGCCCAGCCCCGGGGGAGCCCACCUCCUCCCCGCGGCCCGCCCGGGCCAUGCUCCCCCGGGGCA
Molecule: long non-coding RNA, 500 nt
Filed under: Homo sapiens (human)
Lineage: Eukaryota; Metazoa; Chordata; Mammalia; Primates; Hominidae
Description: non-protein coding lnc-C2CD2L-1:1
Source: RNAcentral